GUGGGGAAUAUUGGACAAUGGGCGCAAGCCUGAUCCAGCCAUGCCGCAUGAGUGAUGAAGGCCCUAGGGUUGUAAAGCUCUUUCACCGGUGAAGAUAAUGACGGUAACCGGAGAAGAAGCCCCGGCUAACUUCGUGCCAGCAGCCGCGGUAAUACGAAGGGGGCUAGCGUUGUUCGGAAUUACUGGGCGUAAAGCGCACGUAGGCGGACAUUUAAGUCAGGGGUGAAAUCCCGGGGCUCAACCCCGGAACUGCCUUUGAUACUGGGUGUCUGGAGUAUGGAAGAGGUAAGUGGAAUUCCGAGUGUAGAGGUGAAAUUCGUAGAUAUUCGGAGGAACACCAGUGGCGAAGGCGGCUUACUGGUCCAUUACUGACGCUGAGGUGCGAAAGCGUGGGGAGCAAACAGGAUUAGAAACCCGUGUAGUCC
RNAcentral lists this ribosomal RNA (425 nucleotides) under uncultured bacterium. RNAcentral describes it as "partial 16S ribosomal RNA". It matches the Rfam family "Bacterial small subunit ribosomal RNA", at positions 354 to 796 of the family's 1533-position model. The record is from RNAcentral.